Centropristis striata (black sea bass) is the source of this 913-nucleotide long non-coding RNA. RefSeq lists it as uncharacterized. Lineage: Eukaryota; Metazoa; Chordata; Actinopteri; Perciformes; Serranidae. The record is from RefSeq and is a predicted model, not a curated record. The transcript is spliced from 4 exons.
UGAUCCCACUCCUGAUCAGACCCACGUCAUCGUCGGGGUGGUGGUCGUGGCGCUGGCGGUGCUGGUCGUCAUCGCUGUUGUUUUCAUCAAAUACAGGAAGAGAGCCAGAGAGACAGAGGAUGCUCCGAAAUCCUCCCAGCAACCGGGUGAGCCAGAGAGCAAUCUGACCUAUGUGACCGUGGAUCAUGCCAAUCAUCAGGCCUCUCCCUUCAGAAAGGUCAAAGAGGAUGUGACGUACUCCACAGUCAAACACGCUGGUGAAGACAGAAGCGGCCGAUGAUUGCAGCAGCGUCUACAGCCAGAAAUAAACCAGAGGAAGUGAAACCUCAUAAAGUCAUGUUAAUAAAACAUGCGCUCACUGUGUUCUAUAUGUGUCAGCGAGCGCCUCAGCUUUCUUAUCAAACUUUGUUUACUUUACUUCGGGACUAUCUGUGCUUCACCUUCACACUGUGGACCUUGUGUGGUUCUUUCACUGAGUCGGUUUAUGAUUUUAAAAAGAUGUGAAGAGUGAAUGAAACAGAAUGGUUGUUAUUUUAUCAUGAGUGGAAAGAGAAAUGUCUUUGCUGCAGAUUGCAUCUUUGCAGAAAGUGGAUUUUUUUGGGGGGGGAGAAGCAGACUUUUUUGUGUUUUAGUUUGUCCAAAAAUUAAGUUCAAGUCCAGUUUUAGUAGAGUUUUAUAUUGUAUUUUGUUACAGAUUUGUAUUACAGCAUUCAAAGGUAGGAUUCAGCUUUUAACAGGUUGACUGUGAGCCUAACUUUUACAGUUUUAUUAUAUGUGGCUCGUCAAGGCAUUUUAUUAUGUUGUAUUUUUGUGUCAUAUUGCGUUUUUGCAACUACGAUAUCAAAUGUUGUUCUCCAUUAUGUUAUGUUAUUAUGUUCAGCUUGGCCAGUACUAUAAAAUAAAAGUGACUCAC